Molecule: ribosomal RNA, 468 nt
Filed under: uncultured bacterium
Lineage: Bacteria
Description: partial 16S ribosomal RNA
Rfam family: Bacterial small subunit ribosomal RNA
Source: RNAcentral
GACGAACGCUGGCGGCGUGCUUAACACAUGCAAGUCGAACGGAAAGGCCCUGCUUUUGUGGGGUGCUCGAGUGGCGAACGGGUGAGUAACACGUGAGUAACCUGCCCUUGACUUUGGGAUAACUUCAGGAAACUGGGGCUAAUACCGGAUAGGAGCUCCUGCUGCAUGGUGGGGGCUGGAAAGUUUCGGCGGUUGGGGUUGGACGCGCGGCUUAUCAGCUUGUUGGUGGGGUAGUGGCUUACCAAGGCUUUGACGGGUAGCCGGCCUGAGAGGGUGACCGGCCACAUUGGGGCUGAGAUGCGGCCCAGACUCCUACGGGGGGCAGCAGUGGGGAGUAUUGCACAAUGGGCGGAGUCCGGAUGCAGCAACGCCGCGUGCGGGAUGACGGCCGUCGGGUUGUAAACCGCUUUCGCCUGUGACGAAGCGUGAGUGACGGUAAUGGGUAAAGAAGCACCGGCUAACUACGUG